UGGUAGUAAAGCAGGGGAUCGCAAGACCUUGCGCUUUUGGAGCGGCCGAUGUCUGAUUAGCUAGUUGGUGGGGUAAUGGCUUACCAAGGCUUCGAUCAGUAGCUGGUCUGAGAGGACGACCAGCCACACUGGGACUGAGACACGGCCCAGACUCCUACGGGAGGCAGCAGUGGGGAAUUUUGGACAAUGGGGGAAACCCUGAUCCAGCCAUGCCGCGUGAGUGAAGAAGGCCUUCGGGUUGUAAAGCUCUUUCAGCCGGAACGAAAUGGUCACGGUUAAUACCCGUGACAAAUGACGGUACCGGAAGAAGAAGCACCGGCUAACUACGUGCCAGCAGCCGCGGUAAUACGUAGGGUGCAAGCGUUAAUCGGAAUUACUGGGCGUAAAGCGUGCGCAGGCGGUUUUGUAAGUCAGAUGUGAAUCCACCGGCCAAGCCUU
This 438-nucleotide ribosomal RNA is filed under the name uncultured Nitrosospira sp. RNAcentral describes it as "bacterial SSU rRNA". It matches the Rfam family "Bacterial small subunit ribosomal RNA", at positions 196 to 616 of the family's 1533-position model. Lineage: Bacteria; Pseudomonadati; Pseudomonadota; Betaproteobacteria; Nitrosomonadales; Nitrosomonadaceae. The record is from RNAcentral.